ACACGACUCUCGGCAACGGAUAUCUCGGCUCUCGCAUCGAUGAANAACGUANCGAAAUGCGAUACCUGGUGUGAAUUGCAGAAUCCCGCGAACCAUCGAGUCUUUGAACGCAAGUUGCGCCCGAGGCCAUUNGGCCNAGGGCACGCCUGCCUGGGCGUCACGC
RNAcentral lists this ribosomal RNA (163 nucleotides) under Deschampsia cespitosa (tufted hair grass). Its description in RNAcentral is "5.8S ribosomal RNA". It matches the Rfam family "5.8S ribosomal RNA". Rfam says of the family: 5.8S ribosomal RNA (5.8S rRNA) is a component of the large subunit of the eukaryotic ribosome. It is transcribed by RNA polymerase I as part of the 45S precursor that also contains 18S and 28S rRNA. The record is from RNAcentral. Lineage: Eukaryota; Viridiplantae; Streptophyta; Magnoliopsida; Poales; Poaceae.